CGAGGUGUAGUCUAGCGUACGACUACUUUCUUCUGCAGAUACAACCUAACGUACGGUUCAUUCUGCAACUCCAACACGGUCUAACGUACGACCCGUUUGGAUCUUCAAACCCUCAGAUACUGCCUAGCAUACGGUACAUUCCGGGGUGUAGUCUAGCAUACGACUACUUUCUUCUUCAGAUACAACCUAACGUACGGUUCAUUCUGCAACUCCAACACGGUCCAACGUACGACCCGUUUGGAUUUUCAAAUACUCAGAUACGAUCUAACGUACGAUCCAU
This 280-nucleotide long non-coding RNA is filed under the name Lathyrus oleraceus (garden pea). Its description in RNAcentral is "Pisum sativum (pea) long non-coding RNA (PSAT_LNC016364)". Lineage: Eukaryota; Viridiplantae; Streptophyta; Magnoliopsida; Fabales; Fabaceae. The record is from RNAcentral.